UACGGAGGGUGCGAGCGUUGUUCGGAAUCACUGGGCGUAAAGGGCGUGUAGGCGGUCCGCUAAGUCUGAUGUGAAAGCCCGGGGCUCACCCCCGGAAGUGCAUUGGAAACUGGCGGACUCGAGUCCCGGAGAGGAGAGUGGAAUUCCUGGUGUAGCGGUGAAAUGCGUAGAUAUCAGGAGGAACACCGGUGGCGAAGGCGGCUCUCUGGACGGUGACUGACGCUGAGACGCGAAAGCAUGGGGAGCGAACAGG
This 253-nucleotide ribosomal RNA is filed under the name uncultured bacterium. RNAcentral's name for it is "partial 16S ribosomal RNA". It matches the Rfam family "Bacterial small subunit ribosomal RNA", at positions 524 to 776 of the family's 1533-position model. The record is from RNAcentral.